This 200-nucleotide ribosomal RNA is filed under the name uncultured bacterium. RNAcentral's name for it is "partial 16S ribosomal RNA". It matches the Rfam family "Bacterial small subunit ribosomal RNA", at positions 8 to 204 of the family's 1533-position model. The record is from RNAcentral.
AGAGUUUGAUCCUGGCUCAGAGCGAACGCUGGCGGCGUGCUUAACACAUGCAAGUCGAACGUGAAAGGGAGCAAUCCCGAGUAAAGUGGCGUACGGGUGAGUAACGCGUAGGUAAUCUACCCCAGAGUCUGGAAUAACCUGCCGAAAGGCGGGCUAAUACUGGAUAGAGCGACAGAAUCCGCAAUUGGGUUUUUCGGGAA